This 301-nucleotide ribosomal RNA is filed under the name uncultured bacterium. Its description in RNAcentral is "partial 16S ribosomal RNA". It matches the Rfam family "Bacterial small subunit ribosomal RNA", at positions 509 to 809 of the family's 1533-position model. The record is from RNAcentral.
CAGCCGCCGCGGUAAUACGUAGGGUGCGAGCGUUAAUCGGAAUUACUGGGCGUAAAGCGUGCGCAGGCGGUCGUGUAAGACAGGUGUGAAAUCCCCGGGCUUAACCUGGGAACUGCGCUUGUGACUGCACAGCUAGAGUAUGGCAGAGGGGGGUGGAAUUCCACGUGUAGCAGUGAAAUGCGUAGAGAUGUGGAGGGACACCGAUGGCGAAGGCAGCCCCCUGGUCCAAUACUGACGCUCAUGCACGAAAGCGUGGGGAGCAAACAGGAUUAGAUACCCCGGUAGUCCCUGUCUCUUAUAU